CGCGUAGGCUGAUUAACAAGUCAGAUGUGAAAUACCAAAGCUCAACUUUGGUGCUGCAUUUGAAACUGUUAGUCUCGAGGGUUGACGGAGAAAACGGAAUUCCACGUGUAGCGGUGAAAUGCGUAGAUAUGUGGAAGAACACCAGUGGCGAAAGCGGUUUUCUGGUUUAUACCUGACGCUGAGGCGCGAGAGCAAGGGAGCAAACA
This 206-nucleotide ribosomal RNA is filed under the name uncultured bacterium. RNAcentral's name for it is "partial 16S ribosomal RNA". It matches the Rfam family "Bacterial small subunit ribosomal RNA", at positions 568 to 774 of the family's 1533-position model. The record is from RNAcentral.